GUGUCAGCAGCCGCGGUAAUACGUAGGGGGCAAGCGUUGUCCGGAAUCAUUGGGCGUAAAGCGCGCGUAGGCGGCCCGGUAAGUCCGUUGUAAAAGUCAAAGGCUCAACCUUUGAAAGCCGAUGGAUACUGCCGGGCUAGAAUCCGGAAGAGGCGAGUGGAAUUCCUGGUGUAGCGGUGGAAUGCGCAGAUAUCAGGAGGAACACCAACAGCGAAGGCAGCUCGCUGGGACGGUAUUGACGCUGAGGCGCGAAAGCGUGGGGAGCGAACAGGAUUAGAACCCUCGUAGUCC
Molecule: ribosomal RNA, 291 nt
Filed under: uncultured bacterium
Lineage: Bacteria
Description: partial 16S ribosomal RNA
Rfam family: Bacterial small subunit ribosomal RNA
Source: RNAcentral